Molecule: non-coding RNA, 5309 nt
Organism: Misgurnus anguillicaudatus (oriental weatherfish)
Lineage: Eukaryota; Metazoa; Chordata; Actinopteri; Cypriniformes; Cobitidae
Source: RefSeq, a predicted model, not a curated record
UGUAGGUAGAAUAUGUUUUAACUCCACAAUGAAAAAUAACAGAAAUGUUCGCUCUCUUUAUCUUAAUGACUAUGUUUCCACUCCUCAUGUUGUCAUAAAAUGGAAUAGAUUAGUGAAAAAUAUUUUGUGGAAGAAGGUAUGGACUCUUCCUAAUAAGUAUUUAUUGAUGAAUAAGGUCAAGAUGAUUUCUUAAGAUUCUUCACCAGUAUUAUCCUGUUAAAACCUUCAUUGUGUCAAAAUUCAAACUAAAUAUAGAUACAAACUGCACAUUCUGUAAUUCACAACCAGAAACUCUCAUACACAGGCAUGAAAACGGGUCAGGGGUGAAAAAGGUGAGAAGGGUGCUUGAGGGGCUAUGUGGCCUCUAAUGGCGCUUUUCCAUCGCAUAGUACCCCACGGUUUGGUUUAGUUUGGGUCGGGUCAGCUUACUUUUGGGAGCUUUUCCAUUGGGAUCACUUCGUAGUACCCGAUACUUUUUUUCGUACCACCUCGGUUGGGGUUCCAAGCGACCCGAGCUGAUACCAAACGUGACGCGUAAACACUGUAGUUCACUGAUUGGUCUGAGAGAAUCGUCAUCGGCGCCGUCAUCCUAUUAUGUAAAAUAUUAGCUUUAGCUUGCUGCUAGCUUGCGCUGUCUCGAGCAAACAUGUUGUCAUCUGUGCUCUGUUUUAAGUUUCCAAACACCCUUUUAGCGAUUAAAAACAUCCACAGGUUGUGAAUCAGGAACACAUAAAGGUUUUUUCCAGACUUGCAGUUUGUGGCGGCACAUUCGCGACGUGCACGUCAGUAUUAUUCAUGCUUUAAUGCAACUUCAUUGAGGCUCAGCCUGAGCGCCGUCGACAGACGCCACGGGUGUUUGAACAGAAACUGUUAUGUGAGACAGAGUUAGUUAUAAACGCGAUGUGCAAAGUAAACAUCUAUUUGUGGUGGCCAAUUUUAAUUUUGUGGCGGCACAUUCGCGACGUGCACGUCAGUAUUAUUUAUGCUUUAAUGCAACUUCAUUGAGGCUCAGCGGAGCCGUCGACUGACGCCACCGGUGUCUGAACAGAAACUGUCAUGUGAGACAGAGUUAGUUAUAAACGCGAUGUGCAAAGUAAACAUCUAUUUGUGGUGGCCAAUUUUAAUUUUGUGGCGGACUGAUAAAUAAAUAAAUGUAUGGGAAUGUACAAGGACGCUCUCUCUUGUAUGAUGUCACAGCCGUAUGCAGCGCAAAUAUAACGACACGCCUAUUAUUCCUCCCACUGCGAAGUGAUACUAAACUCAAUGGAAAAGCUAACCACGCCAAAGUGAGGUGAGCUGACCCGACCCAAACUAAACUAAACCGUGGGGUACUAUGCAAUGGAAAAGCGCCAUAAUGGGGCCGCGAGGUGGGAGGACCCCCCCAGAAUAAAUAUUAUGGCCUCAUUAGGGAACAUGCUGUAACUUAACUUAUUUAUUCUUCAGGCAUGUGAUUGGCCAAGGACAAAAAAGAAGAAAGGAACUCAACAUCCCUCCACGUGCGCAGAAACAAAAUGCACACCAUUACAUACGCAAAAAAUACAUUAUGACCAUUAUUUCAAUUAUUUAAUUCUGACGAACAAUUUAGAUUUCAAAUUUAAAAUGUAAACAUUUGACUAGUAACAGAAACUAUUAGGGCUGUCACUUUUCGUUCGAAAAUCGAUUGCACAAUCGAUCGGACCAACCAAAAAGAGUUUCGAAAACGAAAAUAGGCAAUCGAUUUUAACCAAAUAUGUACACUAUUAAUUUUAAAAGAUUAAAACAGUUAAAAUUAUAGAUGUAACAAAACUCACAAACAAACAGAAAAAGAAAAUACAGAAUUACGAAAGUGCAGUAGGUGUGCGAAAGUUAGACAGAAAAUACCCAGCAAUUUUACGCACCUACACUGUUAACGAUUUCUGUAAAUUACACUGUAUUUUACUAUAAUAUGAACUGUAUUUUACCGUAGGGCAUGUUAUACAGUAUGUUGCUGUAUUUUGAUGUUGCAUUGUGGGAAAUGUAAUCUUUGUGCCAGUAAAAUACUGUAUUUUGUAUUUACUGUAAAAUUUACAGUUAAUUAAAAAUACUGUAUUUUAAUGGCAGGUGGCGCUAAUUUGUUUUUUUUGGGGGGGGAUUAACUCUCUGAUUAAGGUUUGGUGUCGUUGCAUAGUUAAGCCUAAAGGGGACUUUGAGUUAAUGUUGAGUGUCAAGCCUUACAAUCCAAUAUAGAAAGCUAUCUUAUACAAAUAAUGUAAUAUUAUUGUAUUUAUAUAUUGAUUUUAAAUGUAAAGUAAAAUUCAGAACUUAAAGUCCUAAAAACAAUCAAACAACUAAAUUAGUGCAAGUAGAGCUGAUUUAUUUACCAAAACACAAUAUAAUCAUCUUCAUUAAAGUAUUUUGUAUAUUCAAAUUAAUUUACAAAUGUAAGUGUUUAAAAAUUAGAGAUAGGUUUUGCCGGUUGUUGAUGAGUGAUGAAUACCAGCUGUGAAUUUUCUCAACGCGUGUAAGCAGCCACGACACAGGAAACCGAAACAGUGUUCCAAUAUAAAGUGAGGGUCCUUGACAGUGGCCGAACCCGCAUAAUACACGAUAUAAUGAUUCCCUACCUCGGGAGCUAUAGGGAACGAAUUGAGACACAGCCCUGGAUGUAAUCACGUCUGUGCUGAUCACGUGCCUGUACACAAACCCGCAGCUCACUUGCAAAAGAUUAUCCUGUUAUUUAUUACACGUAUAGUAAACGUUUUUAAUGUUAUCAUGAAUCAAUGUUAUAGUUUUGUAUGUCAUAUUAUUUUUUGAGAAGAGUCAUGACUCAACGCGGACCUUACACACUGUUAAUUUGUGUGUGCGUAUGGCCAAGGUACAGUGCACUCUUUUGCACUCUAUGACCAGCCAUCAGUAAAUCGAAACAGUAAAAAAAUUUGCGCGAAACCCUGACACUUUACAGAAAGGCACGGAUAUCCCCGCCCGAAGAAAAAGAGAGCACAGGACAAUGGUUGCAAGUUAAACAGCUGGUAAGUAAAAUGAGUAAUCCUGUGAUUUCUUAACAUAUUUAAUUUUUUAUUUGGUUAAUUAAUUUGAAACACUUAACGCAUGUUAACGGUAAUUUACCUCACACGUUAGGACUGUUGUGACUAAACAGAUAGGAGAGAGCUUUGUGGUGAAAACUCUUUUUAAGACUCAACAAAACUUUCGGUGCAAGUUAUCAUAUUUAUUUCUUUUCCUUUUUUGAAAAUUUCACCACCUGCAAAGGUAAGUAAUCUUGUGAUUUCUUACAAUAUUUAAUAUUUUUGGUUUAGUUCAUUAAUUUGAAACACUUUUUUUAAACACUUAACAACACGCAGUUGACGGUAAUUUACCUCACACGACUGUUGUGAACAAGAUAGUUAGAACUUUGAGGUAGAAACUCGUUUAACACUGAACAAAACACAACUUUCUGUGCAAAUAAUCAUAUUUAAUUAUUUUCUUCCCCUUUUUAGAACAUUUCACCAUCGACAUAUUAACAUAAACGGUUCUCUUUUUCGUGUUUGACUGCGUUUGGUACAGGUGAGUGUUUAUCUGAAAUGCUAGCCGACAAACUGAGCUUUUGUGUUUAACGCUAUUUUGAAGUCAGUCUCUCAGUUUCUAACAUUAUGUAAGGAAUAAUUGACGAUGGGUCGUUGAAUUAAAUUGAUAUAACUGCCAGUAAGAAAAAGGGUGUGUGUGUGUGUGUGUGUGUGUGUGUGUGUGUGUGUGUGUGCGUGCGUGCGUGCGUGUGUGUGCAGGUCACAACAACAACAGCAGAUGCAGAGACCACGCUUUCCCUUGCUUCCACUUCACGGCUGAUCAUGCUUGAGGAUCCAGAUCUACAAAACAAAAAAUGGAUGCUGCCGAUUGAAGGCUAAGUCCGCUUUCCUGCGAUUGACCUACCAUUUCUUCAGCAUUUGCUGUUCACUUUGGUUGCUACUACGUGCUCAACAUCGAGUACCAAGUGGAAGCAGCCACUACUUUGGAGUUUAUUUAGAGAUUUAUUGUGAGGAUCAGCCCCGACAACAGCAAGUGCUCCUCUAAGUUCCAGGUGAGCAAAAGAAGUGGGAAGAUGAUGCAAAGGAAGAACUCUGGCCUGAACCAUCAUGUAUAUAUCCACCUUUAUUAAGGACUUUAUGAAUUAAGCAAAACUAUGAAACUACUAAAGCAAAUACAUUCUACUCAACUCACCAGAGGUUUGUGAAGUUCUUUUUUUAUCUUAAAGGUUUCUUUUAGUUAAUUUGUCCUUGCACUGAUUUAUAAUAUUGUAAUAUGAAACUCCAGUGUAUACAUGUUACUACUGUUGCUUCUAAAAGCAAAAUAAGUCUAUGCAGGAGAGGUUUUGUUACGUUUUUUUAAAUUAUUCUUAUAGACGGUUUCAUCGGACGCACAUGAUACACGUCUGGAUCCAAACCUUACUUCCGGUUUCACUUUUUUAAUGGUCUGACUAGUUGCUAAACUGAUCUCUUGAACAAAAGCCUCGUCGAAAAUAACAAAUGUUUUGGUUUCCGAGCUAAUCUAUGUGUUGUUUUUUUGCUUGUUAUAUAAAUAAAAUGCGUUUAAAGAACUUUGUUGUUUUUUAUUCUUAGCGGAGUUUAUCGGAAGUUCAUGCGGACCGCGAAAGCCGCUUGUUUAUGUUGUUACUGCUGAAACCGUCUAUAGUUAUAACUGAAUUUGUACUAGUAUUAUUUGAUAAUACUGUGAAAUGAAACGGUGAGUAAAUGUUACAUUGGCUUUGAAAAAGCUGUUGCUGCAAGAAAUUACAAUUUACUCAGAAUAAUAUUUUGAAUGUAUAAGUUUUUGACAUUGCUUAUGACUGCAUUUGAAUGUAUUGUUCAUAAAUUGAUGCUGUGAUGUGUGUGUAAAUGUUUUGUGUGUUACAGGAUAAAAGAUUUGCUAUAAGCAAAUCUAUUUUACUCAGGAAAGUAUUUUGUAUUUGAACAUUGUUAUUAUGACCGAGUUAGUUCAUGACUUGAUUUAAAAUUCUGUAAUAUGAUAUCUAUGAGUAAAUGUUAUUGCAGGUUUAAGAAAAACAGUUUGUGAUGCAAGCUGAAAGUUCAAUGUGCAAAAAUAUGAAAAUCUGAUAUCAUGUAUUUGAAAAACUAAAAGAAAUUUUAAAAACAUGUUGUAAUUGCUUAUUUUUGUUAUUUACUUAGAGCUGUUUUAACACCUCCAUUUAAAUUUUGUGCAGUUUUGUAGAAAAUAGAAAUGGGAAAAUGAAUCACAGGAAAUUUUACGGUAAAACACACAUUGUAAUAUAUACAUUGUAGUAUAAAAUUAUUGUAUAUUUUACAGUAGAAAAUAUAAAAUACUGUAAAUACAGUUACAGC